UAGGUCCGGACUUCUGGCUGGCCAGGGUU
Molecule: non-coding RNA, 29 nt
Filed under: Bombyx mori (domestic silkworm)
Lineage: Eukaryota; Metazoa; Arthropoda; Insecta; Lepidoptera; Bombycidae
Source: RNAcentral